This is a long non-coding RNA of Chelonoidis abingdonii (Abingdon island giant tortoise), 520 nucleotides long. RefSeq lists it as uncharacterized. The record is from RefSeq and is a predicted model, not a curated record. Lineage: Eukaryota; Metazoa; Chordata; Testudines; Testudinidae.
GGCUGGAGCGGAGCCCGGGCGCGCAGAUCCUGCUCGGCUCCCCCCGCCGGUGCCGGGAGCCCCGAGAGAGGUUCGGCCCCAGCCCCGGGCUGUCAGGGCGCCCGCCCGCCAGCGGGACCGGUCCCCGUGGCCGCUCCGGCGGGUCCUCUAGCAUCUACAGUGCUGGCUCUGCCUCCAUGUGAUGGCCCACUAUGCUGCUGACAUCACAGCCACCCUGGGACUCCAGCUGGAGCAUGGAACCAGGCUACGGAGAGGUCAGAUUUACCUCCUGCGCAUUUGUAGUGGAGACUUCAGUAAUUCCUGCUAUCUGGAUGCUACCCCUAGCAUCCUCUCUGAGGUCUAGGAAUCCAGAGGAUGGAUUCAGGAGGUCACGGAUCACUUCGUUAUAAAUCUGAAGGUGGAAGAGAAAGAGGCACCAGCACUUAAGCCCCCGGGGUUCUCCUUCCAAGAAACCAUCAGCUACUACCUCAGCUGUAAACUCACCCAUGCUGCUCUGCUCCAGCCUCACCUGGUCACCCAC